GACGAACGCUGGCGGCGUGCUUAACACAUGCAAGUCGAACGGAAAGGCCCUGCUUUUGUGGGGUGCUCGAGUGGCGAACGGGUGAGUAACACAUGAGUAACCUGCCCUUGACUUUGGGAUAACUUCAGGAAACUGGGGCUAAUACCGGAUAGGAGCUCCUGCUGCAUGGUGGGGGUUGGAAAGUUUCGGCGGUUGGGGAUAGACUCGCGGCUUAUCAGCUUGUUGGUGGGGUAGUGGCUUACCAAGGCUUUGACGGGUAGCCGGCCUGAGAGGGUGACCGGCCACAUUGGGACUGAGAUACGGCCCAGACUCCUACGGGAGGCAGCAGUGGGGAAUAUUGCACAAUGGGCGGAAGCCUGAUGCAGCAACGCCGCGUGCGGGAUGACGGCCUUCGGGUUGUAAACCGCUUUCGCCUGUGACGAAGCGUGAGUGACGGUAAUGGGUAAAGAAGCACCGGCUAACUACGUG
RNAcentral lists this ribosomal RNA (468 nucleotides) under uncultured bacterium. RNAcentral describes it as "partial 16S ribosomal RNA". It matches the Rfam family "Bacterial small subunit ribosomal RNA", at positions 28 to 507 of the family's 1533-position model. The record is from RNAcentral.